UGGAGCUGAAAUCAGUCGAAGAUACCAGCUGGCUGCAACUGUUUAUUAAAAACACAGCACUGUGCAAACACGAAAGUGGACGUAUACGGUGUGACGCCUGCCCGGUGCCGGAAGGUUAAUUGAUGGGGUCAGCGCAAGCGAAGCUCUUGAUCGAAGCCCCGGUAAACGGCGGCCGUAACUAUAACGGUCCUAAGGUAGCGAAAUUCCUUGUCGGGUAAGUUCCGACCUGCACGAAUGGCGUAAUGAUGGCCAGGCUGUCUCCACCCGAGACUCAGUGAAAUUGAACUCGCUGUGAAGAUGCAGUGUACCCGCGGCAAGACGGAAAGACCCCGUGAACCUUUACUAUAGCUUGACACUGAACACUGGUCCUUGAUGUGUAGGAUAGGUGGGAGGCUUUGAAGUGUGGACGCCAGUCUGCAUGGAGCCGUCCUUGAAAUACCACCCUUUAAUGGCUGGUGUUCUAACGUUGGCCCCUUAUCGGGGUUGCGGACAGUGUCUGGUGGGUAGUUUGACUGGGGCGGUCUCCUCCUAAAGAGUAACGGAGGAGCACGAAGGUUGGCUAAUCCUGGUCGGACAUCAGGAGGUUAGUGCAAUGGCAUAAGCCAGCUUGACUGCGAGCGUGACGGCGCGAGCAGGUGCGAAAGCAGGUCAUAGUGAUCCGGUGGUUCUGAAUGGAAGGGCCAUCGCUCAACGGAUAAAAGGUACUCCGGGGAUAACAGGCUGAUACCGCCCAAGAGUUCAUAUCGACGGCGGUGUUUGGCACCUCGAUGUCGGCUCAUCACAUCCUGGGGCUGAAGUAGGUCCCAAGGGUAUGGCUGUUCGCCAUUUAAAGUGGUACGCGAGCUGGGUUUAGAACGUCGUGAGACAGUUCGGUCCCUAUCUGCCGUGGGCGCUGGAGAACUGAGGGGGGCUGCUCCUAGUACGAGAGGACCGGAGUGGACGCAUCACUGGUGUUCGGGUUGUCAUGCCAAUGGCACUGCCCGGUAGCUAAAUGCGGAAGAGAUAAGUGCUGAAAGCAUCUAAGCACGAAACUUGCCCCGAGAUGAGUUCUCCCUGAGACUUAAAGUCUCCUGAAGGAACGUUGAAGACGACGACGUUGAUAGGCCGGGUGUGUAAGCGCAGCGAUGCGUUGAGCUAACCGGUACUAAUGAACCGUGAGG
RNAcentral lists this ribosomal RNA (1160 nucleotides) under Escherichia albertii. RNAcentral's name for it is "partial 23S ribosomal RNA". It matches the Rfam family "Bacterial large subunit ribosomal RNA", at positions 1762 to 2916 of the family's 2925-position model. Lineage: Bacteria; Pseudomonadati; Pseudomonadota; Gammaproteobacteria; Enterobacterales; Enterobacteriaceae. The record is from RNAcentral.